GUGCUCGCUUCAGCAGCACAUAUACUAAAAUUGGAACGAUACAGAGAAGAUUAGCAUGGCCCCUGUGCAAGGAUGACAUGCAAAUUCGUGAAGUGUUUCAUAUUUUU
This is a small nuclear RNA of Ochotona princeps (American pika), 107 nucleotides long. NCBI's taxonomy places the organism in Eukaryota, Metazoa, Chordata, Mammalia, Lagomorpha, Ochotonidae. The record is from Ensembl.